Non-coding RNA from Hordeum vulgare subsp. vulgare (domesticated barley), 136 nucleotides. The record is from Rfam. NCBI's taxonomy places the organism in Eukaryota, Viridiplantae, Streptophyta, Magnoliopsida, Poales, Poaceae.
AUUAUACUCCCUCUGUCCCAAAAUUCUUGUCUUGGAUUUGUCUAGAUAUGAAUGUAUCUNGUCACGUUUUAGUAUUUAGAUACAUCUAUUUCUAUACAAAUCUAAGACAAGAAUUUUGGGACGGAGGGAGUAUGUA